GUCCAAGCCCCUUACAGGCUCCCUGCUGAGCCCUGUAAACAGUUGCGACUCGGCAGGGAGCCUGUAAGCACCUGGGACCCUCAGAAUAUCUGUGUGUCAGCGUACUUUAUUCACCGGUCAUUGGGUCAGGGGUCUGCAAGGGACAGACUCCCCACAGCUGGUGACCCCUCGAGAGGAGCCCUGCCCCCAGCUGGUGCCCCAUGUGAGGCGCUGUGUGAGGAACUGUGUGAGGAAUGCUGUGAAGGAAACGCGACGAACCGCCCGAAAACGAAGACAGAACAGCAUGUGGAGACUCACACAGUGAAAUUUUCCUCCAAGAAGUACUGCAUGAACAUACCAGGAAAACCAAAAGAAUUCACAGGACCUUUGAAAGAAGUGGCUUGCCGCUGCAAACUCCAUGAGACAGCUGAAAAACGGGCAAAGCGGCUGAGAUCUUUGAACUCCCUUUGAACUUUGAGAAUGGUGACUGGAAGAUGACAAUUCAUGUUGUUUUCAGGAAA
Molecule: long non-coding RNA, 500 nt
Filed under: Homo sapiens (human)
Lineage: Eukaryota; Metazoa; Chordata; Mammalia; Primates; Hominidae
Description: HSALNT0017422
Source: RNAcentral